GAUGAACGCUGGCGGCGUGCCUAACACAUGCAAGUCGAGCGAACAGACGAGGAGCUUGCUCCUCUGACGUUAGCGGCGGACGGGUGAGUAACACGUGGAUAACCUACCUAUAAGACUGGGAUAACUUCGGGAAACCGGAGCUACUACCGGAUAACAUGUUGACCCGCAUGGUUCAACAGUGAAAGACGGUCUUGCUGUCACUUAUAGAUGGAUCCGCGCCGCAUUAGCUAGUUGGUAAGGUAACGGCUUACCAAGGCAACGAUGCGUAGCCGACCUGAAAGGGUGAUCGGCCACACUGGAACUGAGAAACGGUCCAGACUCCUACGGGAGGCAGCAGUAGGGAAUCUUCCGCAAUGGGCGAAAGCCUGACGGAGCAACGCCGCGUGAGUGAAGAAGGUCUUCGGAUCGUAAAACUCUGUUAUUAGGGAAGAACAAAUGUGUAAGUAACUAUGCACGUCUUGACGGUACCUAAUCAGAAAGCCACGGCUAACUACGUG
This 497-nucleotide ribosomal RNA is filed under the name uncultured bacterium. RNAcentral's name for it is "partial 16S ribosomal RNA". It matches the Rfam family "Bacterial small subunit ribosomal RNA", at positions 28 to 507 of the family's 1533-position model. The record is from RNAcentral.